AUUUUCGCAAGUGCCUGGUUUCAGAGAGGUGUAAUUUUUGUUGUAUAGUACCCUUUUUUGGAACCAAGCCCUUUGAGAAA
Molecule: non-coding RNA, 80 nt
Organism: Drosophila simulans
Lineage: Eukaryota; Metazoa; Arthropoda; Insecta; Diptera; Drosophilidae
Source: Rfam